GAUGAACGCUCGCGGGAGGCCUAACACAUGCAAGCCGAGCGGUAUUGUUUCUUCGGAAAUGCGAGAGCGGCGUACGGGUGCGUAACACGUGUGCAACCUGCCUUUAUCUGGGGGAUAGCCUUUCGAAAGGAAGAUUAAUACUCCAUAAUAUAUUGAACGGCAUCGUUUAAUAUUGAAAGCUCCGGCGGAUAGAGAUGGGCACGCGCAAGAUUAGCUAGUUGGUGAGGUAACGGCUCACCAAGGCGAUGAUCUUUAGGGGGCCUGAGAGGGUGAUCCCCCACACUGGUACUGAGACACGGACCAGACUCCUACGGGAGGCAGCAGUGAGGAAUAUUGGUCAAUGGGUGCAAGCCUGAACCAGCCAUCCCGCGUGAAGGACGACUGCCCUAUGGGUUGUAAACCUCUUUUGUAUAGGGAUAAACCUACCCUCGUGAGGGUAGCUGAAGGUACUAUACGAAUAAGCACCGGCUAACUCCGUG
This 479-nucleotide ribosomal RNA is filed under the name uncultured bacterium. RNAcentral's name for it is "partial 16S ribosomal RNA". It matches the Rfam family "Bacterial small subunit ribosomal RNA", at positions 28 to 507 of the family's 1533-position model. The record is from RNAcentral.